AGUGGCGAACGGGUGAGUAAUGCCUAGGAAUCUGCCAUUUAGUGGGGGAUAACGUUCCGAAAGGAACGCUAAUACCGCAUACGUCCUACGGGAGAAAGAGGGGGAUCUUCGGACCUCUUGCUAAAUGAUGAGCCUAGGUCAGAUUAGCUAGUUGGUGAGGUAAAGGCUCACCAAGGCGACGAUCUGUAGCGGGUCUGAGAGGAUGAUCCGCCACACUGGAACUGAGACACGGUCCAGACUCCUACGGGAGGCAGCAGUGGGGAAUAUUGGACAAUGGGGGCAACCCUGAUCCAGCCAUGCCGCGUGUGUGAAGAAGGCCUUUUGGUUGUAAAGCACUUUAAGCGAGGAGGAGGGUACUCUAGCUAAUACCUAGAUGUAUCGGACGUUACUCGCAGAAUAAGCACCGGCUAACUCUGUGCCAGCAGCCGCGGUAAUACAGAGGGUGCGAGCGUUAAUCGGAAUUACUGGGCGUAAAGCGCGCGUAGGCGGUUUGUUAAGUCGGAUGUGAAAUCCCCGGGCUCAACCUGGGAACUGCAUUCGAUACUGGCAGACUAGAGUAUGGGAGAGGAUGGUAGAAUUCCAGGUGUAGCGGUGAAAUGCGUAGAGAUCUGGAGGAAUACCGAUGGCGAAGGCAGCCAUCUGGCCUAAUACUGACGCUGAGGUGCGAAAGCAUGGGGAGCAAACAGGAUUAGAUACCCUG
Molecule: ribosomal RNA, 700 nt
Filed under: uncultured bacterium
Lineage: Bacteria
Description: bacterial SSU rRNA
Rfam family: Bacterial small subunit ribosomal RNA
Source: RNAcentral